Molecule: long non-coding RNA, 1860 nt
Organism: Astyanax mexicanus (Mexican tetra)
Lineage: Eukaryota; Metazoa; Chordata; Actinopteri; Characiformes; Acestrorhamphidae
Exons: 5
Source: RefSeq, a predicted model, not a curated record
AUUUUUCAGAUUAAUGUUUGCUAUAGUUUAUGUUUAAGAAAUUGAAAAACAUCCUGGUGAAAAAUGUGGAUUUGUUCCACAUUGGAUUGGAAAGCUGCCAGAUGUCAGAUAUUUACAUACAUUAUUCAGCCAUAACAUUAAAACCAAUAAUAGGUGAACUCAAUACCACUGGUUACAAUGGUACAUUAGCAGAAAGUGAGCAGUUAGAUCUCAAAAAAGACGGAAAAAAGGAAUCUGAGGGACUUUAAAAAUGGUCAAAGCAUCGCAAAAAAAAUAAUCAGGCAGGUAUUGUAGAGUGUUCCUGGUAUGCUGUAGUAGUCAGUAUCUACCAAACGUUCUCCAAUGAAGAACAACUAGAGAACCGGCGAUAGGAUUUUGGGCACCCAAGACUCAUUAAUGCAAUCUAUGGAGGUGCGACUGAAAGGAUCUGCUGCUUACUUCUAGUGUUCAUGUUAAGGCUUAUAAGUAACAUAAUAAAGCAGUUCCCUCCACACAUAACCUGAUCUCAGACCAGUCUACCUGAGCCUCUUUCACACACACCUGAGAAGUGCACCCGCACCAUCAGAGCAGCCGUAGGAUCAGUCACCGGCAGCCGGCCAGCUACCGUUACUGCAGGCAAGAACACAAACCCACUUAUUCAUCCAUACCAACAGGCCUAGUGCCAGCGCACUGCCUCUGCAGCGCUGCAUGACCGACUGAAGAGUGAUUUGCACAUGGUGUGUGUUCUAGUAUUACUGUUCCUCUGGGGACCAGAUGUCUUUAUAAUGACAGGACAGCAUGAAACAUUUGCCCAAGUGAGGACAUGUUUCUGGUCUUUGCUUGGAAACAUGAGGUUUUUAAAACACACUCAAGAAUUUUAGGGAGAAUCUAAAGAAUAUCAGCUUCUGGAUAUGUCGAUUUAGGUUAGAUUUAGGUUAGUGAGGUUAAUGGCAGGUUUAAAUACGGUAGGUUUUUAGUGUAGGUUCUUAAAGUUAAAGCAGUUUUAGGUGUAGGUUACUAAGGUUAACUGCAGGCUUAGGUGUAGGUUACUUGAUGUAACAGCAGGUUUAGAUGUAGGUUAUUGGGGUUAACAGCAGGUUUAGGUGUAGAUGUCUUAUGUUAAUGGCAGGGUUGGGUGUAGGUCCCUGAGGUUAACGGCAGGUUUAGGUGUAGGUUACUGAGGUUAACAGCAGGUUUAGGUGUAGGUCCCUGAGGUUAACAGCAGGUUUAGGUGUAGGUUACUGAGGUUAAUGGCAGGUUUAACUGUUGGAUCCUGACUUUAACGGUAAAUUUAAGUGUAGGUCCCUAAAGUUAAAGCAGGUUUAGGUGUAGGUUCCUGAGGUUAACUGCAGGUUUAGGUGUAGGUUACUUAGGGUAACAGCAGGUUUAGGUGUAGAUUCCUUAGGUUAAAGGCAGGUUUAGGUGUAGGUUACUGAGGUUAAUGGCAGGUUUGGGUGUAGGUCCCUGAGGUUAACGUCAGGUUAAGGUGUAGGUUACUAAGUUAACGGCAGGUUUAGGUGUAGGUUCCUGAGGUUAUCGGCAGGUUUAGGUGUAGGUUCCUGAGGUUAUCGGCAGGUUUAGGUGUAGGUUCCUGAGGUUAUCGGCAGGUUUAGGUGUAAGUUACUAGGUUAACAGCAGGUUUAGGUGUAGGUUCCUGAGGUUAACAGCAGGUUUAGGUGUAGGUUCCUGAGGUUAACAGCAGGUUUAGGUGUAGGUUCCUGGGGUUAACAGCAGAUUUAGGUGUAGGUUUCUGGGGUUAACAGCAGAUUUAGGUGUAGGUUUCUGGGGUUAACUGCAGGUUUAGGUGUAGAUUCCUGAGGUUAAGGUUGGGUUUAGGAAUGCAUUUGCUGAAGUUAAUAGUAGGUUCAGGUGUAGUUACCU